GAUGGUUUGGGAAUCUCCAUCAUCAGCUAGCAAAUUAUCAGUAUGGAAAUCAAACACACUGAAGUUGCAGGUGAAAGACAACAAGGAGUACACCUAGGAUGAUGAGGAUAAAGUAAUGAGAGAAAGUAUUUGGCAGCUAUAGAUGUAACUCUAAACCAAGUAGAAUCAAGAAAAAAGAUCUAGAGAGCUGACUGCAACUAAAUUAAGAUUGAGGCAUAGUUGAGAUGAAAAGAAACAUUUCAUGGAAGCAAAUCUGAUAUAAGCAGAAUUGCUGAUUCAGAAAUGGUGGGCCAUGAUCCAAAACCACUGAGAGUUUACUACAGGAAGAAUUUCAGAAAG
Molecule: unclassified non-coding RNA, 339 nt
Filed under: Hevea brasiliensis (rubber tree)
Lineage: Eukaryota; Viridiplantae; Streptophyta; Magnoliopsida; Malpighiales; Euphorbiaceae
Source: RNAcentral